GUAGGUGGCAAGCGUUGUCCGGAAUUAUUGGGCGUAAAGCGCGCGCAGGCGGUCCUUUAAGUCUGAUGUGAAAUCCCACGGCUCAACCGUGGAAGGUCAUUGGAAACUGGGGGACUUGAGUACAGAAGAGGAAAGUGGAAUUCCAAGUGUAGCGGUGAAAUGCGUAGAGAUUUGGAGGAACACCAGUGGCGAAGGCGACUUUCUGGUCUGUAACUGACGCUGGGGCGCGAAAGCGUGGGGAGCAAACAGGAUUAGAUACCCUGGUAGUCCACGCCGUAAACGAUGAGUGCUAAGUGUUAGGGGGUUUCCCGCCCCCCUUAGUGCUGCAGCUAACGCAUUAAGCACUCCGCCUGGGGAGUACGGUCGCAAGACUG
RNAcentral lists this ribosomal RNA (374 nucleotides) under uncultured organism. RNAcentral describes it as "partial 16S ribosomal RNA". It matches the Rfam family "Bacterial small subunit ribosomal RNA", at positions 527 to 896 of the family's 1533-position model. The record is from RNAcentral.